GAGGCUGUAUGCUGCUUUGCAGUAGGGAAGACAGAGGCACCCUAGAAGGGUGAACCUCACUCAGGGAGGGGAGUUAUAAACACAAGCAUCACAAGCCCCAAAGAUGAUAUAUCUUCCUUCAUCUCUACCCACUACCCAGGGGCAUUUCCUGGCUCUCCAGUUAAGGAGAGGGUGCAUCCCUCGUGAUUUUGUGCCUUCUGGGAUUUAUAGCCCCAAACAGUGACACCACCUAGGACCAACCAACCGUAGUGCCCUAAAGAUGAAUGCUACUCCGUCUUAGCCCCUGUGAAGCCUGCUUCAGUGACUCUGCGCUUCUGCCCUGGAUUGCUCUUGUUCAGAGAAGUAGGAAUACUGUGAAGGAAACAGUUCUCUACUAACCCAUUUGGAACCAUGAAGAAAUAAAUCCUGAUCCACCAACCUUGACCAGACAGCUGAAGGUUGUCCUCGUUUAGCACUGACCUUGUAGAGAUGGAUUGCAAUUGUAAGGAGUCAAUUUUGUUUUGUUUGUUUUCUUUCUUUCCUUCUGGGCACUUUGAGUUCAUAUUCAUCUAGGAGCAUUCUGGGAAUUGUAGGCCCAGUGCUAUUAGUAUCUGCUUUUUCCCCCUGCUUUUCUGGUCUAC
This 620-nucleotide long non-coding RNA is filed under the name Chinchilla lanigera (long-tailed chinchilla). RNAcentral's name for it is "lncRNA (ENSCLAG00000025449.1)". Lineage: Eukaryota; Metazoa; Chordata; Mammalia; Rodentia; Chinchillidae. The record is from RNAcentral.